UACGAAGGGGGCUAGCGUUGCUCGGAAUCACUGGGCGUAAAGCGCCCGUAGGCGGAUUGUUAAGUCGGGGGUGAAAUCCUGGAGCUCAACUCCAGAACUGCCUUCGAUACUGGCUAUCUUGAGUACGGAAGAGGUAUGUGGAACUCCGAGUGUAGAGGUGAAAUUCGUAGAUAUUCGGAAGAACACCAGUGGCGAAGGCGACAUACUGGUCCGUUACUGACGCUGAGGCUCGAAAGCGGGGGGAGCAAACAGG
This 253-nucleotide ribosomal RNA is filed under the name uncultured bacterium. RNAcentral's name for it is "partial 16S ribosomal RNA". It matches the Rfam family "Bacterial small subunit ribosomal RNA", at positions 524 to 776 of the family's 1533-position model. The record is from RNAcentral.